GAGGGUAUAGCUCAGUGAUGGAGCACAUGCUCUGCAUGCAGGAGGUCUUGGGUUUGAUUCCCAGCACCUCCA
Molecule: transfer RNA, 72 nt
Filed under: Camelus ferus (Wild Bactrian camel)
Lineage: Eukaryota; Metazoa; Chordata; Mammalia; Artiodactyla; Camelidae
Rfam family: tRNA
About the family: Transfer RNA (tRNA) molecules are approximately 80 nucleotides in length.
Source: Rfam by way of RNAcentral